This is a long non-coding RNA of Lemur catta (Ring-tailed lemur), 371 nucleotides long. RefSeq lists it as uncharacterized. NCBI's taxonomy places the organism in Eukaryota, Metazoa, Chordata, Mammalia, Primates, Lemuridae. The transcript has 3 exons. The record is from RefSeq and is a predicted model, not a curated record.
AGUGUGGUCCUUGGCCCAUCGGGCCGCCGUCUGUAUAAACAACUGGAGCCACCCCAAAUCAGCUUGUCGGCAUCGUUCUGGUGGACCAAUUUCAUGUGAUCCCAUGAAGGAAACAUCUGCUCACCAAGCUGCCCCCUGGGAUAGAGGCCAGGGUGUCGCCAUAGCCCUGAACUCAUGCUAAUUCAGAGAACAUCAAACACCCUAUACCCUGGCCUGGCAUUUAAAGCAGCAUUUAGGACAAUGAAGGACAAGACAGAACACAGGAGCUGUGCUGUAACUUUAUAUAUGGCAAUAAAUAAGAAACAAAUAUUUGCUGAGAAAUAAAUUGAACGAUGAUGAACAUAAAAGGUGGCUUUGAAAGAAUUAGAAAU